This 66-nucleotide small RNA is filed under the name Bacilli bacterium VT-13-104. Its description in RNAcentral is "Bacillaceae-1 RNA". It matches the Rfam family "Bacillaceae-1 RNA". The record is from Rfam by way of RNAcentral. Lineage: Bacteria; Bacillati; Bacillota; Bacilli.
UUUUAAGGAAGUCAUGUUAAGUACGCGAUGACCUGUCGCAACACAUGUACUAGCACAUCCUAAUGC